Molecule: transfer RNA, 75 nt
Filed under: Thermoprotei archaeon
Lineage: Archaea; Thermoproteati; Thermoproteota; Thermoprotei
Description: tRNA-Thr
Rfam family: tRNA
About the family: Transfer RNA (tRNA) molecules are approximately 80 nucleotides in length.
Source: RNAcentral
GCCCCGGUAGCUCAGCGGUGGAGCACCGGCCUUGUAAGCCGGGGGUCCCGGGUUCGAAUCCCGGCCGGGGCUCCA